RNAcentral lists this ribosomal RNA (253 nucleotides) under uncultured bacterium. RNAcentral describes it as "partial 16S ribosomal RNA". It matches the Rfam family "Bacterial small subunit ribosomal RNA", at positions 524 to 776 of the family's 1533-position model. The record is from RNAcentral.
UACAGAGGGUGCAAGCGUUAAUCGGAAUUACUGGGCGUAAAGCGCACGUAGGCGGUUUUUUAAGUCAGAUGUGAAAGCCCCGGGCUCAACCUGGGAAUUGCAUUUGAAACUGGAAAACUAGAGUGUGUGAGAGGGGGGUAGAAUUCCAAGUGUAGCGGUGAAAUGCGUAGAGAUUUGGAGGAAUACAAGUGGCGAAGGCGGCCCCCUGGCACAACACUGACGCUCAGGUGCGAAAGCGUGGGGAGCAAACAGG